Long non-coding RNA from Lycium barbarum (goji berry), 437 nucleotides. RefSeq lists it as uncharacterized. NCBI's taxonomy places the organism in Eukaryota, Viridiplantae, Streptophyta, Magnoliopsida, Solanales, Solanaceae. The transcript has 3 exons. The record is from RefSeq and is a predicted model, not a curated record.
UGGACUCAAAAAAAAAAUAAGAGAAGUGAGGCCCAAAUUGGGAAUGCCCAACCGGCCACAAGCCUUGAUCCAAGCCCAUGGAUUAAAUAAUUUCCAUGUGAAUUAUAUAGUCAUAAUUAUCCUUAGAAACUUCAAGACAAAGCAAGAGAAACCAAGAAAAAGAAGAGGAGAGAGUUCGGGUGGAAAGAGAGAAAAGAAAGAAAAGAAAGAAAAAAAAUUUGGGGCCUAAUCUUGGAUUCAAAAAUUCAUUCCUUGUGAAAUAACUACUAAGUGCAAAGUCCUCUACAACUUGGUACAAUUAGUUUGGCAAGAGGACAACUUUUGUAACAAGUGAAGAACUUGGAGGAAAGAUUUUGGACGAAAUUGGAAUCGACGCCAAGCGAGCGUAAGGCGCUAUCGAGGUACAGACGCACUAGGUGACACGCCGCCAAUGUAGG